AUGUAGCUGGACUGAGAGAGCAAAUGAGAGAACAGAACAGAAAGGUAUAUAGGUGUAGGUAGACAGGAAGUAGCUUGCUUGGGAGACUGAGGUGUUGGUGAGGUGAGGUUAGCUUGUGGCUUUUCCUAUUCCUCUGAUCUCUCUCAGGCCUUAAUCCCAAUUUCUGGCUCCAAGUUUUUAUUCAUAGGACUGUUUAGCAAUUUGUCUACAGAUUUCAGCUACAUAACAGAAAGACGGGCUCACUGGAGACUUCAAAAAGAUUAUUGUCCUGGGAAGACCACUGAUGGUACCCAGAUCCAGCACCCAGAGUGACAGAGACAUGGAGAGGAUACAGGAAGGAAGCAGAGAAACAAAAAGAAACUCUAGUACUGAAAGAAAGAAGAUUCUACUUCAUAUUUUUAAAUUCUGCUCAAUCUAUCCCAACAACUCUUUGCCUAGUUGGAGAUGCUUCUAAGACAUAUUGGCCUUGGAAAAAUAAAAAUAAUUUUAAAAUUGU
This is a long non-coding RNA of Peromyscus eremicus (cactus mouse), 496 nucleotides long. RefSeq lists it as uncharacterized. The transcript has 2 exons. NCBI's taxonomy places the organism in Eukaryota, Metazoa, Chordata, Mammalia, Rodentia, Cricetidae. The record is from RefSeq and is a predicted model, not a curated record.